AGGUCCAGGCAAAAUAAGAAUUGACAGAUUGAGAGCUCUUUCUUGUUCUUGAAUAGUGGUGGUGCAUGGCCAUUCUUAGUUGGUGAAGUGAUUUGUCUGCUUAAUUAUGAUAAUGAACAAAACGUUUAACCUGCUAAAUAACCCAACUCGCGUUUUCGGGGCCGCUGACUUCUUAGAGGGACUAUCAGCUCAAGCCGAUGGACGUUUGAUGCAAUAAUAGGUCUAUGCCCUUAGAAGUUCU
RNAcentral lists this non-coding RNA (241 nucleotides) under Blastomyces gilchristii SLH14081. RNAcentral's name for it is "Ajellomyces dermatitidis SLH14081 Eukaryotic small subunit ribosomal RNA". It matches the Rfam family "Eukaryotic small subunit ribosomal RNA", at positions 1220 to 1483 of the family's 1831-position model. Lineage: Eukaryota; Fungi; Ascomycota; Eurotiomycetes; Onygenales; Ajellomycetaceae. The record is from Rfam by way of RNAcentral.